CCUACGGGUGGCAGCAGUGGGGAAUAUUGCACAAUGGGGGAAACCCUGAUGCAGCGACGCCGCGUGAGCGAUGAAGUAUUUCGGUAUGUAAAGCUCUAUCAGCAGGGAAGAAAAUGACGGUACCUGACUAAGAAGCCCCGGCUAACUACGUGCCAGCAGCCGCGGUAAUACGUAGGGGGCAAGCGUUAUCCGGAUUUACUGGGUGUAAAGGGAGCGUAGACGGCUGUGCAAGCCAGAUGUGAAAGCCCUGGGCUCAACCCCGGGACUGCAUUUGGAACUGUGUGGCUGGAGUGCAGGAGGGGCAGGCGGAAUUCCUGGUGUAGCGGUGAAAUGCGUAGAUAUCAGGAGGAACACCGGUGGCGAAGGCGGCCUGCUGGACUGCAACUGACGUUGAGGCCCGAAAGCGUGGGGAGCAAACAGGAUUAGAUACCCCUGUAGUC
RNAcentral lists this ribosomal RNA (440 nucleotides) under uncultured bacterium. RNAcentral describes it as "partial 16S ribosomal RNA". It matches the Rfam family "Bacterial small subunit ribosomal RNA", at positions 338 to 795 of the family's 1533-position model. The record is from RNAcentral.